This is a non-coding RNA of Cinara cedri, 232 nucleotides long. NCBI's taxonomy places the organism in Eukaryota, Metazoa, Arthropoda, Insecta, Hemiptera, Aphididae. The record is from the annotation of a GenBank genome assembly.
ACGUGUAGUGUACCUACCAUCACUGCCUGGUGGCGUUGUGUAACGAUUAUAUACGAUACAUAUGCGACGAGUACUAAAUACGCGCGCGCAACAGACAUCAGUCCCCUUAGCGCUCGUUAAUAACGACGUCUUCAACUCGUGGUACGCGUUUAUCGUGCAGUAGCUCUAUCCAUGAUACACGAUCUAAGGGGAUAACAAAUUAAAAAAAGGAAGCGCUAGUAGCAACUGCGGG